UUGAGAAAAAAAGGAGGAGGGACAGAAACUCCGCGAAGAGGAAGACUUCAGACAAGGUGAUGCAACUGAAAAUUCCGAAUUGACACAACCUGCCACCAGAUCUAUACGACACCACGCUAUGUUUCCCGUGUGUACCAAGAAUGGUCCACUACCCAAAGGACAUCCAGCCAACUUGACACAACUGUGGGAAGCAUUGGAGUCAACAUGGACCAGCAUCCCUGGGGAACGCUUUCAUCACCUUGUAGAGUAUGGAAUCUGAUGAAUUGAGGCUGUUCUGAGGGCCAAAGGGGGUGCAACUCAAUAUUAGGAAGGUGUUUGUUCCUAAUGUCUUGUACACUCAGUGUACAUCAUUAAUCCUAACACACUGUGGGAUGUCAGGUCAACCGACUCCCAACAUAUUGAUGCUAAAGAUGAUAAAGAGAGAGUUUACCCAAGUUACAGAAUGACACAUCGAUUUUGUUACCGUCUAAGCAGUCCCUGGCAUGGGUCCCACAUGCUAACUUUUAAGCAAAAGUUUAUCAAAAGCUAACUGUUGGAGCUCCCGAGUGGCGCAGCAGUCUAAGGCACUACAUCUCCGUGCUAGAGGCGUCACUACAGACACCCACUAAAGACACCCUAAUCCAGUUUGUAUCACAACUGGCUGUGAUUGGGAGUCCCAUAGGGCGGCGCACAAUUGGCCCAGCGUCGUCUGGGUUUGGCCGGUGUAGGCCAUCAUUGUAAAUAUGAAUGUGUUCUUAACUGACUUGCCUAGUUAAAUAAAGGUUCAAUAAAAGCAUAAAAAAAGAAAAUACAUGCACUUGUGGUACAAAUCCCAUUCAAGUCAUGGGACCGAUAUUAGAAUAUUUUGCGCAUCAUGUCCAAAUCAUCCGAAAGUAUCAAAAAUGUAUUGAGAAGCUCAACAGUCUCCUACAGAUGUUUUGAGCAUGAUGAGCAUGGAUUGCUGUUAUACCUUAUCCAUAGACUGCUUCUAGGGUCAGGAAACCAAUAUGUCAAAAGAUAUAGAUCAUCCUAAAUAUGUUCAAAGGGCAUUGUGUCAUUGUACUUUCC
Molecule: long non-coding RNA, 1047 nt
Organism: Oncorhynchus tshawytscha (Chinook salmon)
Lineage: Eukaryota; Metazoa; Chordata; Actinopteri; Salmoniformes; Salmonidae
Source: Ensembl